RNAcentral lists this ribosomal RNA (433 nucleotides) under uncultured bacterium. RNAcentral describes it as "bacterial SSU rRNA". It matches the Rfam family "Bacterial small subunit ribosomal RNA", at positions 74 to 524 of the family's 1533-position model. The record is from RNAcentral.
UGGCGGACGGGUGAGAACUAGCGGCGGACGGGUGAGUAACACGUGGGCAACCUGCCUUACAGAGGGGGAUAGCCUUCCGAAAGGAAGAUUAAUACCGCAUAUUAUGAUUUUUCUGCAUGGGAAAGUCAUGAAAGGAGCAAUCCGCUGUAAGAUGGGCCCGCGGCGCAUUAGCUAGUUGGUGAGGUAAGGGCUCACCAAGGCGACGAUGCGUAGCCGACCUGAGAGGGUGAUCGGCCACAUUGGGACUGAGACACGGCCCAGACUCCUACGGGAGGCAGCAGUGGGGAAUAUUGCACAAUGGGGGAAACCCUGAUGCAGCAACGCCGCGUGAGUGAUGACGGCCUUCGGGUUGUAAAGCUCUGUCUUCAGGGACGAUAAUGACGGUACCUGAGGAGGAAGCCACGGCUAACUACGUGCCAGCAGCCGCGGUAAU